RNAcentral lists this ribosomal RNA (215 nucleotides) under uncultured Glomeromycotina. RNAcentral's name for it is "partial small subunit ribosomal RNA". It matches the Rfam family "Eukaryotic small subunit ribosomal RNA", at positions 569 to 789 of the family's 1831-position model. The record is from RNAcentral. Lineage: Eukaryota; Fungi; Glomeromycota.
AGCAGCCGCGGUAAUUCCAGCUCCAAUAGCGUAUAUUAAAGUUGUUGCAGUUAAAAAGCUGUAGUUGAAUUUCAGGAUCAAUAUUUCAGUCAUGCUGUUGAUAUGCACUGUUAUCAUUAUUUCUCACCUUCUAAAGAACCGUAAUGCCAUUAAUUUGGUAUUACGGGGAAUUAAGACGUUAUCUUGAAAAAUUAGAGUAUUUAAAGCAGGCUCAC